UGUGGAUGGUGUGAGGUAGUGAUCUCAGCUGGUCUUGAACCGCAAACUGGCUCCUGGCUGCAGCGCCAGCCUCAGUUCAGAUCUUCUGUUGUUAGCGAGUGGCUUGCGCAUGCGUGGUUCAGUCCGUCAGAAAGGUUAAGGAGAUGUAACCACCAGCCAUCCUGAAACUGACCAAAUGAGGCACUCAAGGGAGAUGUAACCACCAGCCAUCCUGAAACUGACCAAAUGAGGCACU
Molecule: long non-coding RNA, 235 nt
Organism: Diceros bicornis minor
Lineage: Eukaryota; Metazoa; Chordata; Mammalia; Perissodactyla; Rhinocerotidae
Exons: 3
Source: RefSeq, a predicted model, not a curated record